CCCUUGAGAGUGGCGAACGGGUGAGUAAUAUAUCGGAACGUGCCCAGUCGUGGGGGAUAACGUAGCGAAAGUUACGCUAAUACCGCAUACGAUCUAAGGAUGAAAGCGGGGGAUCGCAAGACCACGCGCGAUUGGAGCGGCCGAUAUCAGAUUAGGUAGUUGGUGGGGUAAAGGCUCACCAAGCCAACGAUCUGUAGCUGUCUGAGAGGACGACCAGCCACACUGGAACUGAGACACGGUCCAGACUCCUACGGGAGGCAGCAGUGGGGAAUUUUGGACAAUGGACGCAAGUCUGAUCCAGCCAUUCCGCGUGCAGGAUGAAGGCCCUCGGGUUGUAAACUGCUUUUGUACGGAACGAAAAGGUCUCUCUUAAUACGGGGGACUCAUGACGGUACCGUAAGAAUAAGCACCGGCUAACUACGUGCCAGCAGCCGCGGUAAUACGUAGGGUGCAAGCGUUAAUCGGAAUUACUGGGCGUAAAGCGUGCGCAGGCGGUUAUGUAAGACAGAGGUGAAAUCCCCGGGCUCAACCUGGGGACUGCCUUUGUGACUGCAUAGCUAGAGUACGGUAGAGGGGGAUGGAAUUCCGCGUGUAGCAGUGAAAUGCGUAGAUAUGCGGAGGAACACCGAUGGCGAAGGCAAUCCCCUGGACCUGUACUGACGCUCAUGCACGAAAGCGUGGGGAGCAAACAGGAUUAGAU
RNAcentral lists this ribosomal RNA (700 nucleotides) under uncultured beta proteobacterium. RNAcentral describes it as "bacterial SSU rRNA". It matches the Rfam family "Bacterial small subunit ribosomal RNA", at positions 86 to 783 of the family's 1533-position model. The record is from RNAcentral. Lineage: Bacteria; Pseudomonadati; Pseudomonadota; Betaproteobacteria.